UUCUAUCGGCAUUCUGAUUCGAGUCUUUGUAUUUAUCUGGUGGUCUAUGUUGACGACAUUGUUAUUACCAGCAAUGACCAGGAUAAUAUUACUAAAUUGAAGCAACAUCUCUUUCAACACUUUCAGAUUAAGGAUCUGGGCACACUAAAGUAUUUUCCUGGGUAUUGAGGUAGCUCAGUCUAGCUCAGGUAUUGUGAUCUCACAACGGAAGUAUGUCUUAGAUAUUCU
RNAcentral lists this long non-coding RNA (228 nucleotides) under Nicotiana benthamiana. RNAcentral describes it as "long non-coding RNA (NBEN_LNC016069)". The record is from RNAcentral. Lineage: Eukaryota; Viridiplantae; Streptophyta; Magnoliopsida; Solanales; Solanaceae.